CAAUAGCGUAUAUUAAAGUUGUUGCAGUUAAAAAGCUCGUAGUUGAAUUUUUGCUUGCCGCCGAUGUCGGAACUUCCGUACGUUCGGCGGCGUGCAUCCUUGGGUGGAACCUGUGUGGCAUUAGGUUGUCGUGCAGGGGUUGCUCAUCGUUUACUGUGAAAAAAUUAGAGUGUUCAAAGCAGGCUUACGCCGUUGAAUAUAUUAGCAUGGAAUAAUAAGAUAGGACCUUGGUGCUAUUUUGUUGGUUUGCGCACCGAGGUAAUGAUUAACAGGGACAGUUGGGGGUAUUCGUAUUCCAUUGUCAGAGGUGAAAUUCCUGGAUUUCUGGAAGACGAACUACUGCGAAAGCAUUUACCAAGGAUGUUUUCAUUA
Molecule: ribosomal RNA, 372 nt
Filed under: uncultured eukaryote
Lineage: Eukaryota
Description: partial 18S ribosomal RNA
Rfam family: Eukaryotic small subunit ribosomal RNA
Source: RNAcentral